Molecule: non-coding RNA, 25 nt
Filed under: Mus musculus (house mouse)
Lineage: Eukaryota; Metazoa; Chordata; Mammalia; Rodentia; Muridae
Source: RNAcentral
GAUUGGUCUAAAUGUAACUGCUUCA